CCAGAAACUACUAUCUAUAGUAUAGAAUCUAUACACACAUAUCUACGUAAAAUUUUUACACCUUUAAAAUAUUUGACUUUACAUGUAUUAGGUCCCUUGACUUUUUUUGUUUACUGCCCUCGAAGUCAUUAAUUAUCCUCUGAUCAUUACGCUCAUAUAAUGAUUAUAACAAUAAAUACUCGCGCGAGCGUAAAUUUGCGUAAUAAUAUCUGAGUAUUUCACGUUUUUAAUCUGCGAUCACAGAUGUAUAUUUAUAAUCUUCUGCAAGUUGGAGUGUCUAUCCGUAUUGGAUUUUUGAAAUCAUAGCUCAUA
This is a non-coding RNA of Cinara cedri, 312 nucleotides long. Lineage: Eukaryota; Metazoa; Arthropoda; Insecta; Hemiptera; Aphididae. The record is from the annotation of a GenBank genome assembly.